This 389-nucleotide ribosomal RNA is filed under the name uncultured bacterium. RNAcentral's name for it is "bacterial SSU rRNA". It matches the Rfam family "Bacterial small subunit ribosomal RNA", at positions 30 to 417 of the family's 1533-position model. The record is from RNAcentral.
AUUGAACGCUGGCGGCAUGCCUUACACAUGCAAGUCGAACGGCAGCACGGGAGCAAUCCUGGUGGCGAGUGGCGAACGGGUGAGUAAUAUAUCGGAACGUGCCCAGUCGUGGGGGAUAACGUAGCGAAAGCUACGCUAAUACCGCAUACGAUCUAUGGAUGAAAGCGGGGGAUCGCAAGACCUCGCGCGAUUGGAGCGGCCGAUAUCAGAUUAGGUAGUUGGUGAGGUAAAGGCUCACCAAGCCGACGAUCUGUAGCUGGUCUGAGAGGACGACCAGCCACACUGGGACUGAGACACGGCCCAGACUCCUACGGGAGGCAGCAGUGGGGAAUUUUUGGGACAAUGGGCGCAAGCCUGAUCCAGCAAUGCCGCGUGCAGGAUGAAGGCCU